This 248-nucleotide long non-coding RNA is filed under the name Musa acuminata (dwarf banana). RNAcentral's name for it is "long non-coding RNA (MACU_LNC006587)". Lineage: Eukaryota; Viridiplantae; Streptophyta; Magnoliopsida; Zingiberales; Musaceae. The record is from RNAcentral.
GGAAACGUGGGGGCGACAUAACAACGAUUUGCACACAACAAAUGGAGAAGGUUUUGCAUAAAGCAUGUAGCAGCUUUUUGGUACAACUUGAGUAGCAAACUAAGGGAGAGCCAACAGAAUUUGAAGAUCCAAAUCUACUUCCUUUGCUUGCUGAAUUUUCAAAUAUAUUUGACGAACUGCGCAACCUACCUCUUACCCGUCGGCAUGAUCAUUGUAUAACGAUCCUUCCAGGCAAAUCUUCAGCAAAU